UUUUGCCUACGGGAGGCAGCAGUGGGGGAUAUUGCACAAUGGGGGGAACCCUGAUGCAGUGACGCCGCGUGGGUGAAGAAGCGCCUCGGCGCGUAAAGCCCUGUCAGCAGGGAAGAAAAUGACGGUACCUGAAGAAGAAGCCCCGGCUAACUACGUGCCAGCAGCCGCGGUAAUACGUAGGGGGCAAGCGUUAUCCGGAUUUACUGGGUGUAAAGGGAGCGCAGACGGCGA
Molecule: ribosomal RNA, 231 nt
Filed under: uncultured bacterium
Lineage: Bacteria
Description: partial 16S ribosomal RNA
Rfam family: Bacterial small subunit ribosomal RNA
Source: RNAcentral